UUGCUCCCGUUAGUUAGCGGCGGACGGGUGAGUAACACGUGGGCAACCUACCUAUAAGACUGGGAUAACUUCGGGAAACCGGAGCUAAUACCGGAUGACAUAAAGGAACUCCUGUUCCUUUAUUGAAAGAUGGCUUCGGCUAUCACUUAUAGAUGGGCCCGCGGCGCAUUAGCUAGUUGGUGAGGUAACGGCUCACCAAGGCGACGAUGCGUAGCCGACCUGAGAGGGUGAUCGGCCACACUGGGACUGAGACACGGCCCAGACUCCUACGGGAGGCAGCAGUAGGGAAUCUUCCGCAAUGGACGAAAGUCUGACGGAGCAACGCCGCGUGAGCGAUGAAGGCCUUCGGGUCGUAAAGCUCUGUUGUUAGGGAAGAACAAGUGCUAGUUAAAUAAGCUGGCACCUUGACGGUACCUAACCAGAAAGCCACGGCUAACUACGUGCCAGCAGCCGCGGUAAUACGUAGGUGGCAAGCGUUGUCCGGAAUUAUUGGGCGUAAAGCGCGCGCAGGCGGUUUCUUAAGUCUGAUGUGAAAGCCCCCGGCUCAACCGGGGAGGGUCAUUGGAAACUGGGAAACUUGAGUGCAGAAGAGGAAAGUGGAAUUCCAAGUGUAGCGGUGAAAUGCGUAGAGAUUUGGAGGAACACCAGUGGCGAAGGCGACUUUCUGGUCU
This 671-nucleotide ribosomal RNA is filed under the name Gottfriedia acidiceleris. RNAcentral's name for it is "bacterial SSU rRNA". It matches the Rfam family "Bacterial small subunit ribosomal RNA", at positions 79 to 735 of the family's 1533-position model. The record is from RNAcentral. Lineage: Bacteria; Bacillati; Bacillota; Bacilli; Caryophanales; Bacillaceae.